Molecule: ribosomal RNA, 2890 nt
Filed under: Acinetobacter baumannii
Lineage: Bacteria; Pseudomonadati; Pseudomonadota; Gammaproteobacteria; Moraxellales; Moraxellaceae
Description: bacterial LSU rRNA
Source: RNAcentral
UCAAGUAAUUAAGUGCAUGUGGUGGAUGCCUUGGCAGUCAGAGGCGAUGAAAGACGUGAUAGCCUGCGAAAAGCUCCGGGGAGGCGGCAAAUAUCCUUUGAUCCGGAGAUGUCUGAAUGGGGGAACCCACCUACUUUAAGGUAGGUAUUGCAACAUGAAUACAUAGUGUUGCAAGGCGAACGAGGGGAAGUGAAACAUCUCAGUACCCUUAGGAAAAGAAAUCAAUUGAGAUUCCCUCAGUAGCGGCGAGCGAACGGGGAUCAGCCCAUUAAGUUAUGUGUGUUUUAGUGGAACGCUCUGGGAAGUGCGAACGUAGAGGGUGAUAUUCCCGUACACGAAAGGGCACACAUAAUGAUGACGAGUAGGGCGAGGCACGUGAAACCUUGUCUGAAUAUGGGGGGACCAUCCUCCAAGGCUAAAUACUCCUGACUGACCGAUAGUGAACCAGUACCGUGAGGGAAAGGCGAAAAGAACCCCUGUGAGGGGAGUGAAAUAGAUCCUGAAACCGCAUGCAUACAAGCAGUGGGAGCACCUUCGUGGUGUGACUGCGUACCUUUUGUAUAAUGGGUCAGCGACUUAUAUUCAGUAGCRAGGUUAACCGUAUAGGGGAGCCGUAGAGAAAUCGAGUCUUAAUAGGGCGUUUAGUUGCUGGGUAUAGACCCGAAACCAGGCGAUCUAUCCAUGAGCAGGUUGAAGGUUGGGUAACACUAACUGGAGGACCGAACCCACUGUCGUUGAAAAGCCAGGGGAUGACUUGUGGAUAGGGGUGAAAGGCUAAUCAAGCCUGGUGAUAGCUGGUUCUCCCCGAAAGCUAUUUAGGUAGCGCCUCGGACGAAUACCAUAGGGGGUAGAGCACUGUUUCGGCUAGGGGGUCAUCCCGACUUACCAAACCGAUGCAAACUCCGAAUACCUAUGAGUACUAUCCGGGAGACAGACUGCGGGUGCUAACGUCCGUAGUCAAGAGGAAAACAAUCCAGACCGCCAGCUAAGGCCCCAAAAUCAUAGUUAAGUGGGAAACGAUGUGGGAAGGCAUAGACAGCUAGGAGGUUGGCUUAGAAGCAGCCACCCUUUAAAGAAAGCGUAAUAGCUCACUAGUCGAGUCGGCCUGCGCGGAAGAUGUAACGGGGCUAAAACUAUGUGCCGAAGCUGCGGAUUUGACAUUAGUCAAGUGGUAGGGGAGCGUUCUGUAAGCCGAUGAAGGUGURUUGAGAAGYAUGCUGGAGGUAUCAGAAGUGCGAAUGCUGACGUGAGUAACGACAAAACGGGUGAAAAACCCGUUCGCCGAAAGACCAAGGGUUCCAGUCCAACGUUAAUCGGGGCUGGGUGAGUCGACCCCUAAGGCGAGGCCGAAAGGCGUAGUCGAUGGGAAAAUGGUUAAUAUUCCAUUACUUCUGUGUAAUGCGAUGAGAGGACGGAGAAGGCUAAAUCAGCCUGGCGUUGGUUGUCCAGGUGAAAGGAUGUAGGCAUGUAUCUUAGGCAAAUCCGGGGUACUCUAUGCUGAGAUCUGAUAGCAAGCUGUACUUGUACAGCGAAGUGGUUGAUGCCAUGCUUCCAGGAAAAGUCUCUAAGCUUCAGUUACACAGGAAUCGUACCCGAAACCGACACAGGUGGUCAGGUCGAGUAGACCAAGGCGCUUGAGAGAACUCUGCUGAAGGAACUAGGCAAAAUGGUACCGUAACUUCGGGAGAAGGUACGCUGUUGUUGGUGAUGGAACUCGCUUCCUGAGCUGACGACAGCCGCAGAAACCAGGCCGCUGCAACUGUUUAUUAAAAACAUAGCACUCUGCAAACACGAAAGUGGACGUAUAGGGUGUGAUGCCUGCCCGGUGCUGGAAGGUUAAUUGAUGGGGUUAGCGUAAGCGAAGCUCUUGAUCGAAGCCCCAGUAAACGGCGGCCGUAACUAUAACGGUCCUAAGGUAGCGAAAUUCCUUGUCGGGUAAGUUCCGACCUGCACGAAUGGCAUAAUGAUGGCGGCGCUGUCUCCAGCAGAGGCUCAGUGAAAUCGAAAUCGCUGUGAAGAUGCAGUGUACCCGCGGCUAGACGGAAAGACCCCGUGAACCUUUACUGCAGCUUGACACUGAACUUUGACCUUACUUGUGUAGGAUAGGUGGGAGGCUUUGAAGCUGGAACGCUAGUUCCAGUGGAGCCGUCCUUGAAAUACCACCCUGGUAAUGUUGAGGUUCUAACUCUGUCCCGUGAUCCGGGACGAGGACCGUGUCUGGUGGGUAGUUUGACUGGGGCGGUCUCCUCCUAAAGAGUAACGGAGGAGUACGAAGGUGCGCUCAGCGUGGUCGGAAAUCACGCGUAGAGUAUAAAGGCAAAAGCGCGCUUAACUGCGAGACCCACAAGUCGAGCAGGUACGAAAGUAGGUCUUAGUGAUCCGGUGGUUCUGUAUGGAAGGGCCAUCGCUCAACGGAUAAAAGGUACUCUGGGGAUAACAGGCUGAUACCGCCCAAGAGUUCAUAUCGACGGCGGUGUUUGGCACCUCGAUGUCGGCUCAUCUCAUCCUGGGGCUGAAGCAGGUCCCAAGGGUAUGGCUGUUCGCCAUUUAAAGAGGUACGCGAGCUGGGUUUAGAACGUCGUGAGACAGUUCGGUCCCUAUCUACCGUGGGCGCUGGAAAUUUGAGAGGAUCUGCUCCUAGUACGAGAGGACCAGAGUGGACGAACCUCUGGUGUACCGGUUGUGACGCCAGUCGCAUCGCCGGGUAGCUAUGUUCGGAAGGGAUAACCGCUGAAAGCAUCUAAGCGGGAAGCCUACCUCAAGAUAAGAUUUCCCUAGGACUUUAUGUCCUCUAAAGAGCCGUUCGAGACUAGGACGUUGAUAGGUUGGAUGUGGAAGCAUAGUGAUAUGUGAAGCUGACCAAUACUAAUUGCUCGUGAGGCUUGACUAU